Long non-coding RNA from Capsicum annuum, 1111 nucleotides. RefSeq lists it as uncharacterized. NCBI's taxonomy places the organism in Eukaryota, Viridiplantae, Streptophyta, Magnoliopsida, Solanales, Solanaceae. The record is from RefSeq and is a predicted model, not a curated record. The transcript has 3 exons.
AAAAUAAAAAUAGCAGCCUACUUCUAAAAAAUCCUAACCCAGCCCAAUCCAAAAACACUAAGUCUAUUACAUAUAAAAUCAGAGUAGGGUUUCAAAAUUAAGACUCUCAUCUUUAUCUUCUUUCUUCCAACUUCACCUGGAAAAUGUUCCCUUUGCCAAUUUUCGUUUCACUAUUCUCUAACUUUGGGUGAUAUGCAUUGUGCCAUGGUUGACCUUGGAUGGAUCUUUUUGUCAGCUUGCAGAAUUGUGUUCUCCUAUGGAUGGGACUUUGUUAUACUUUUUGUGAUGCAUAGAGAGAUCUAAUCAAGUGGAAGCAGUUACCUUCUCCAAAUAUAGCUGGUAGAGAGAUAAUGGGAUUCUCAAAAACAUAAUUAUUUUGAGUAGUAACAUGCUUCCCAGGUUCAUGAACUCUAAUCUGACCAACUAACCCUCUCAUUUUGCUGCGAUUCCUUUUGUAAGUUGCUGUAAAGUAGGCUAAAUAGUUGUUUCACCUUUUCUAUUGCCUUCUUGGUUUUGUAAAUAUGAUUUUUGUGAAAAACUUAGCUUUAGCCUUCCUAUCCCCUUUACCCCUUUUUAUUGUGACAAUUAUAGAUAAGGACAUUGCAACUUAUCACUAUUGAUAAUGCAUUUACCUUUUGCUUGCAACUACUGAAAUUUUGUGAAUGUGAAGUCCCCUUUUCUAAUACAAAAUUAGAAAAAUAAUUAGCUAACUGUUUUGCCUCUCUAAGUAUAUGUUGAAACUAUACUUGCCUACUUAAUAGCAACUGCCAAAUUUGUUGAACACUUUCUGAUAUACCCGAUACGCAUUCCCAUUCUCUGUUUAAAAUUCUUUGCAUUGUUAGUAAAUCUAUCUGAAUGAUCAAUUUAUCAUCUUGUGUGUGUCUGCAAUGCUUGGCUUCUUGUAGAAUUUACAUUGCUUCUGCGUCUAUAUUGUUAGUAUCCUCCAUUAUAGCUCUUUUUACAUAUAUUAAAUCACUAUGCACAUUUCUUAGACAAAAAGCAUAUGAACUAGCUCCUAGAUUCCCCCUUGAUGCUCCAUCAACGUUGUACUUCACCCAUCCUUCUAUUGGAAAUUCCCAUAGAACUCUAGUGACUCUAACUCUAGUCCUUA